Molecule: transfer RNA, 73 nt
Filed under: Sulfurifustis variabilis
Lineage: Bacteria; Pseudomonadati; Pseudomonadota; Gammaproteobacteria; Acidiferrobacterales; Acidiferrobacteraceae
Also listed under: 10 other names
Rfam family: tRNA
About the family: Transfer RNA (tRNA) molecules are approximately 80 nucleotides in length. Their secondary structure includes four short double-helical elements and three loops (D, anti-codon, and T loops).
Source: Rfam by way of RNAcentral
GGCCAGGUAGCUCAGUUGGUAGAGCAGCGGACUGAAAAUCCGCGUGUCGGCGGUUCAAUUCCGUCCCUGGCCA